GACGAACGCUGGCGGCGUGCUUAACACAUGCAAGUCGAGCGGAAAGGCUCCUUCGGGGGUACUCGAGCGGCGAACGGGUGAGUAACACGUGAGUAAUCUGCCCUUGGCUUUGGGAUAACUACCGGAAACGGUGGCUAAUACCGGAUACGACCACUCCUUGCAUGAGGUGGUGGUGGAAAGUUUUUUCGGCCAGGGAUGUGCUCGCGGCCUAUCAGCUUGUUGGUGGGGUAAUGGCCUACCAAGGCUUCGACGGGUAGCCGGCCUGAGAGGGUGACCGGCCACACUGGGACUGAGACACGGCCCAGACUCCUACGGGAGGCAGCAGUGGGGAAUAUUGGACAAUGGGCGGAAGCCUGAUCCAGCAACGCCGCGUGAGGGAUGACGGCCU
This 388-nucleotide ribosomal RNA is filed under the name uncultured bacterium. RNAcentral describes it as "bacterial SSU rRNA". It matches the Rfam family "Bacterial small subunit ribosomal RNA", at positions 28 to 417 of the family's 1533-position model. The record is from RNAcentral.